CCCGCGCCGUAUUAGCUAGUUGGUAAGGUAACGGCUUACCAAGGCGACGAUACGUAGCCGACCUGAGAGGGUGAUCGGCCACACUGGAACUGAGACACGGUCCAGACUCCUACGGGAGGCAGCAGUAGGGAAUCUUCCGCAAUGGGCGAAAGCCUGACGGAGCAACGCCGCGUGAGUGAUGAAGGGUUUCGGCUCGUAAAACUCUGUUAUUAGGGAAGAACAAACGUGUAAGUAACUGUGCACGUCUUGACGGUACCUAAUCAGAAAGCCACGGCUAACUACGUGCCAGCAGCCGCGGUAAUACGUAGGUGGCAAGCGUUAUCCGGAAUUAUUGGGCGUAAAGCGCGCGUAGGCGGUUUCUUAAGUCUGAUGUGAAAGCCCACGGCUCAACCGUGGAGGGUCAUUGGAAACUGGGAAACUUGAGUGCAGAAGAGGAAAGUGGAAUUCCAUGUGUAGCGGUGAAAUGCGCAGAGAUAUGGAGGAACACCAGUGGCGAAGGCGACUUUCUGGUCUGUAACUGACGCUGAUGUGCGAAAGCGUGGGGAUCAAACAGGAUUAGAUACCCUGGUAGUCCACGCCGUAAACGAUGAGUGCUAAGUGUUAGGGGGUUUCCGCCCCUUAGUGCUGCAGCUAACGCA
Molecule: ribosomal RNA, 638 nt
Filed under: Staphylococcus saprophyticus
Lineage: Bacteria; Bacillati; Bacillota; Bacilli; Caryophanales; Staphylococcaceae
Description: bacterial SSU rRNA
Rfam family: Bacterial small subunit ribosomal RNA
Source: RNAcentral